Molecule: long non-coding RNA, 5027 nt
Organism: Papio anubis (olive baboon)
Lineage: Eukaryota; Metazoa; Chordata; Mammalia; Primates; Cercopithecidae
Source: Ensembl
AUGAAAGUAUAUGUGUGUGGGUUUUUUGUUUUCGUUUUUGUUGUAAAUCAGAUUGGAAAGAAUGUUCUAAGCUUAAAACAAUGGAAGCUCUCUCUCACAGGCUGGGUUCUGCAGGAGGCAGACACUGCAGUUGUCCUAGAAUGUGAAAGGCUUAUUGAGAUGGAGUUUCAUUAUGUUGGCCAGGCUGGUCUCAAACUCCCGACCUCAGGUGAUCUGCCCGCCUCAGCCUCCCAAAGUGCUGGGAUUACAGUCAUAACCCUUGCAGUUCAUUUCCUCUGUGUGGCCAUUUUCUGCCAAGAAAUCCAGCUUUAUAUCCAUUUGCGGGCAAAGGUAAGUCAAAACCAGCAAGGUGAUAAUUAUCGUUCCCUUCCCACCACUGUGUACCUGUGCAACUAGUCUGCAAAGAGGAACAUUGCCAAAUCCUAGGUCUGCGAUCAGUUGCCCAAUUUAAACCAAACUGUAUCCUGCAGGACAUAAAUUUCAUACCUCAGACUCAUACUCAAAGUGUUUUUCUGCUUCUUAUAUUGCUAGGGAAGGGAGGGAAAGUGACACAGGAAGCCAGAUGUGAGAGGACUAGAUUGACACCUGGGUCAUUAAAAGGCUUUUUUCCCUAAACCCCGCUUAAAUAGUGUUGGACUAUCACUCAGUACUAGCAGAAACAGUUUCCUUUUGCUUUUUUCUAAAACCAACUACUAAAUAAUGUUAGGGUAUCUUUGAAGCAAUAAUGUGUAAUCACUUACAGUUGUUUUGAAGGGAAUGUAUUUAAGAUUUAAAAAAAAAAGAAAGCCCAAAGGCAGAGAGCUUUAAAUAGUAGCCAUUUGGUAAUAAAUACCAUUACUUCCCUUUUCCAGCCUGCCCUACUCCCUCCCCCAUAACCCUUAACACAAAGCUUCAGAUUUAGUUUUGGAGAGAGUGAGUCUACAUUCACUUGAAGAAAAGUCUUCUUGUUUUUCAUUUGUUCUGUUGACUUCACUAUAUUUUAAAAUAUAAGUGUGUUGUGGAGAACAUACUGAAUUCUGAAUUACUAAGUUGCAUAUCCAUUUGCUGUAGAAGAGGAUUUCAGUCCAACAGUAAAAGAUUUUAGCUUGUCUCUAUAGCAGGGGUUCUUGAACCCUAAGACAGGUAAAGAUGAGAUGAGAGGUAGAGAAGAAACACACACAGAGAGGCUUGUGAUUCCUUGAGGGGCAAUACUACUCACAUCUCCUUUGUUUUUCUUGCAGACAUAGAGAAGGGAUGGUGAUGGUGAUGGAGGGUCUCCAGGGGAUUCACACGAGUUGUAGUGGCAUCUCACUAGGCAUUGGCAAGGGAAAACAUCCCACACACAUGCUUGGCAGGCCUGGGCGAAGCCAGCAAGGACAGUCUCUAAAGUACCCUCAGAUGGAAGUGUCCAUGGAGCAGUUGUGAUAUGGUUUGGAUGUGUCCCCACCCAAAUCUCAUCUUGAAUUGUAGUUCCCAUAAUCCCUGUGUGUCAUGGGAGGGACUUGGUGGGAGGUGAUUGGAUCAUGGGGGUGGUUACCCCCAUGCUGUUCUCAUGAUAGUGAGUGAAUUCUCAUGAGAUCUGAUGGUCUUAUGAGGAGCUUUUCCCCUUUUGCUCGCACUUCUGUCUCACCUGCCACUAUGUCAAGAAGCAUGUGCCUACUUUCCCUUCCACUAUGAUUGUAAGUUUCCUGAGGUCUCUCCAGUUAUGUGAAACUGUGAGUCAAUUAAAUCUCUUUCCCUUAUAAAUUACCCAGUCUCAGGCUGCUCUUUAUAGCAGCAUGAGAACAGACUAAUACAAGUUGUCAUCUAGACUAGUCUGCUCAAAGUUUUUCUUCAGUCAACUAGGUAUAGCCCUGAUUCCAGGUAGAAAUAGCCAGGAGGUUGACUUAAGGGGCAAGGUAUAGGGGCUAUCUUUUCUGCCCAGGUGGGAGUUCUACCUCUCUCUGGUACCUCAGGGGCAGCUCUCCCAGCUCCUCUGUACCCCAAGGCCCCCAAAUUGGCAGAUUGUUUUUUCUUAGUUCUCAGCAUCACAUUUCUUUAUUUCAUUUCCCAAGAUAUACUUCAAAUAUAGACAUUUAGAAAAGCGAAUGCUUCUCUGUGCAUCUUAAGGGAUUUUCAGAGGUGUGCUCAUACCCUUACGUCACUCACGCGCGCACACACACACACACUCACGCACACACACAGAGUUCUAUCUCUCUCUCUCUACCUACCUACCUACCUACCUACCUACCUACCUACCUGCCUGCCUGCCUAUUGAUCUACCUACCAUCUAUCAUCUCUCUAUUGUCUACUUUUAUAUAGGGAGAACCCUGGCAGUGGUUAGUCAAAAAUACUGCCAAGGUAGUAAAACGUGAAAAAUGAUAUAUAUACAUUACACAUCCAUCCAUCAGUCUUUUUAUGAAGGGAUAAGGGCUAUUCUACCUAUUGAGAAAUACAGCGUAGUUUUUCUUGCACAUACUUAUAAAUUAAUGGUCUAUAGUUUGCAGUUUUUGUUUCUUUCAAGUGAGGUGAGAGUGUAUAGAGAAUGUGCAAGUAGAAUCUUUCCAGAUAAGUGAUUCUCAAAUGUUGGCAUCUGGAUUUCUUAGCUUUAUCCCCAGAGUUUUAGGUUCAUUAGAUCUGGAGUGGGACCUGAGAAUUUGCAUUUCUCACAGGUUUUCAGAUGAUGCUGAUACUGCUGGCCCAGGGACCACUCUUUGAAAACCACCAUGGUAGAUUUUCAUUAUACUUUACAGAAAGCAAAUAUGUAGCAUUUUAUAGGGAGAAGAGAGAAUGUUGAUUAAUAAGAGAGUUAGGAGAAAGGUUGAGAAUGAAUAUAACUCUAUCCCUAUUUUAUACACUUAAUAUACAGCAAUCUUUGUUCACAUACAUUUUUUCCAGAACACUCUUAAAUCUCACAUAGGAUAUUGGUAAUGUGUUAUAAAUAGUUGACUUUGCAGGGGGUAAAAUGAUCUUUCGGGAAAUGAGAAUAUUCUUUAAAAUUUUUUCUCUCCACAAUGAUGGAAGUUAACUUCUCGGUGCUUCUUUACUUACCUGUAAUAGGCCUGAACACAAUUACAUCACAGAGCUCUCCAGAAGACAAAAGGAGAUAAUAUAUAGUAGUUUUUCUCAGAUAUUUUCACCAUGAUCUUUCAUGAUAGGUAGGCGAAGAAUUGGGAGAAACCCAAAGAACACAUUAGAGAACAAUUUUAUUGAGGUCUUCUCUUUUGUGUCUUAAAAAUAAAUCUAUAGCAGCCAAAAAAAGGAGAAUACAUAUUUUGCCUUUUUUAUCCAUCAAAGAUCCAUUUGUUUUCAUAUAAAAAUAUUUCAUACAACUUGACACUUAACCAUGUUUAUGUUUUGAUUUCUGCUAUGAAGAACAAGUACCUUAGUUUGAGAAACUUAGGAAAAUGCUUUUUAAACAGUAAUGCAUUACAUGAAGUUUUUCUAUUAUUAGAUUUUGUUUUAUUUUGGCAAACGUGAGAUACUCAUAAGCAGAUAUACAGGCUUUGACAUCUCAUGAACAGAUUCCUUAUGCUGAUGUUUGGAUUUUAAAUGAUCAGACAUAUGAUAAAGUCUUCUUCCCCCCAGAUAUUGUCUACAGUCUUAAAAAUUUGCUUCUAAAUUGUAUUUCAGAGCUACAACAAAAUCAAAGCCAUUUAAAGGGUGCAAUUGGCCCAUGGAUUUAUUUGUCUCUUAAUAAAGUAAUAGAUGGUGGGGGCAUGGGACUGUAAAUUUGUGAAACAGGUAGCUAAUGAUUUCUGUGUUACAUCAUUAUUAUAAUCACUAGCAUAUUCAAAAAUUUUAAAUGUAUAUCUUAUAUUUACACAUAUGUACUGUUUUAAUGCCAUUUCUAACUAAAGCAAGCUGAAAAAAUAUAUUCCCAUUUAUGGAUGACCCAUUUAACCAUUAUUUCUUGAACACUUAUAGUAUUAACAUUUAGCAAGUUUCCAUAAGGGAUGCAGAGAUAUCUAAGACCCAGUCCUCAAUUUCUGUCCAAUAAUGGUGGCUCACGCCUGUAAUCCCAGCCUUUUGGGAGGUCAAAGAGGGAGGAUUGCUUGAGCCUAGGAGUUCCAGACCAGCUAGGGCAAUAGAGCAAGACUUCCAUCUCAAAAAAAAAAAAAACAAAACAGAACAAAACAAAUCCUCAAUUUUGGGGAAUUUCAGGAAUUUUCCAUUUUGUCAAUUGACCAGAGAGGUGCUGCAGUUUUCCCACUUACAGGUAGUAGUCUACUUACGGUUAAUAAUCUUUGGCAGCAUGGACAAAAUAAUUAGCUGGGCAGCUGUGGAGUCAGACAGUGAAUCCCUGCUCAGCCACUCCUUAGGUAGAUGAUAUUGGGAAGAUUAUCUAAGUCCUUCUGCUUGUCAGUGUUUCAAUCAUAAAACAGCAUGGGGUCUUGUGAGAAGUGAAAAUAAUAUAUUUAAAGUAUGAAACUCAGUGAUCAACACUUAGGUCUUCCAUCUCUGCUUCUUCCUACUUUCUUAUCUACUAGCUUGAGUGCGUGUGCUGGUCUGAUCCCAAGACUGCUGGGCAUGUGAAGAUGUCUGCCUUGGUUCAGGCCCGGAUCACCAUUCAGGGAGCUGUGACCAUGAGGGCAGGGGUUGCAUAAAUUGUCAAGGAAGAAUUGCCCGUGGUGGUUCUUGUGAGAAGAGAGCAAUGGACUUAUCUCCCAUUUAUGGUGCCACACCCUGCCCUGCUCACCAGUGAAAACUGAAAAGAGAAGAUGGUCCACUUGUAGUAGAACUGUAGGUUAACUUUAUGAUUUACCUACGGACAUAACAAUAGUUUUACACUAGAGUUGGAAAUCCACAGUAAGACUUUUUCCCUUAUGAAAUUUCUACUUUGGAUAUUAGAAAUGUUUCUCUAUAAGAGAAAGCAAAGCAUUAAACUAAAUUUCUUUUAAUUUUUGAAAGACUCCAAAAGGCAGAUGGGUAAUUGACAUAUGCUUAGGAAGAGUUUAUAUAUACAAUUGUUUUGGGAAAAAAAUGUCAAUCUGAAGUGCUAAUACUACACUUAAAGACAUAUAAAUUAUGCAUUAACCCAUAAAGAUUAUAUUCUCAAUGGCAGCUCC